GUUCAGGACGUUGUGGGCAAUCCACUGUACGUACUGUAUGCAGAUCCCACUCGACUCAGGCGAGAUGUUUCAAGAUGAUUCUUAUUGUUGGGUCCACAGCCCAGCCCAAAGUACAAAUUGAGCGCCCCAUUCAAACGUAUCCUUUCCUAAUCGAGGAUGUGACGGGUGUAUUCAUCAGAAGCUAGAAAAACGGUUCGCGAAUCUGGAACAACUAGCUGCAUGCCUCAAACCUGUGAAUGGGUGGGAACUCUAAGUUUGAAACCGUGGAUUCCCUUGAGAGGAGAGAGACACUGGAAAAGGAAAUCAAGCGAAGCUAAUGCCAUUAAUUGUGCAUGCGUGGGUGGAGGCUACCUGGAUUUCAUGAUCUCAUCCUCGGGAAGUACCGUACGAGUCAAGUCGAGAAAGCACUUUCAUCUCCAAGGGUAAACACAUUAGCGUGCUUCUUAGCUAUGAAGGAAUUCGUAAACAGCUCAAAACUCGCAUUCCCGGAGCAUACGACAGACAUAGGUACUGUACGACAUGCUGUACGUACAGUCGGUGGCCGUUGUCAAGGCUCAAAUCCGAAAUCCGAACCUCUGGCCAGCUCAUUCUUCGAGAUGUACGAGGCGUUUUGUUUCCAUCUCCAUCUCUUUGAAGUCUCAAGACAACAACAACAACAACAACAACACCGAACUGGAGAAAUGAAAAAAGACCUCUCUCUACCUAUGUUCGAGUACAUCCGCCCGGAAAAGCAACUCGUUUGUACGUUUAUUAGAUAGCUAACAAGCUGUUCUAAGAUAUGUGAGGUUUGAACAGAGCAGUUUUCAUUGUCUUCAUGUUGAAAGGAACAUGGAUAGCUACAAAUUAUGCAACCUUUCUUUGAAAGCAACAUACUGUCGACCUUCUCCAUCGGAAUGGAGCCGCUCUUAAAUUUAAUGCUCAAAUUUAUGUAAACAGCUGCCAGGACCCGGACCGACGGAGGAAAACAGAGAGCAUUCCUGACGGGCGUGUCCAGAUUUGUCACGGUUUCACAAAACAUGAAAUAUGGGGACACACUUUCUUUCUUUAACGGGUCAAUUUGCUUCUGCUUCUUCGCGGUCUUCGUGAGUGAAAAAGGGGCCUUGGAGAUCUCUCGCAAUGAUCGGUGAGCGUUCGUUCCCAAUGGAACAGACGAGGGCGCAAAGUGCGCACAACAUCGCUUCUUCGUUUGAUGCGUCCUGCUGUCCUGGAUAAUAUUUGGUGGACAAGUAUUGAAGUGCGCACUUUUCCCAGUCCAAUCCAAUGCCCACCCAUCAUCAUCAUCAACACCAUAACACCCAUUUUCUGAUCACCGCCUUGGGUCAUUAGUUGUGGGGAAAGGAAUUUGGCUGCUACUACCGUUGUAGCUCGAAAGAAGACUUCUCACUCAUCGAGGCUGACUCUAACCUCAGCCGCAUUUACAUUGGCUUAUUGAAGCCGGAAUCUACCCUGCCGUCAUAUAUGGAGGCAAAAUGAGAGGGAAAAAAUGUAAUUUGAGACGAAAUUUCGAUGGAGGAGGGGGCAUCAAAAAAAUGUACCCCAAGAGAUGGAUUGCCAUGCAAAAUGCGAUGGGUAGUGGUGGGUGUCGUUGACGCUGAUCACUAAUUAUUAGGUUAAUCAAGUGUUCUGGCAUAUUAUGUCUAAAGGACUAAUGAAACGACGGAAUUGUACACCUGAUAAUAGGAAAAGACUUUCACCUUCACCCCACAAAAGCACGAAAAGUUCAAUAAAACUAAACCUAACAAACGUUUGCCAUCAAGUUAAUCAAACCAAGGCUGAAAUGGUAACAGAUCUUGGCAAUAAACAAUUUACAUUUGACGAAUGAAUUAGUUUUAAAGUUAACGUUUUCACUGGCCAAAAAAAUGACGGAAAUCAUCUAAAACGCUGUCAACAAGUUCAUAAACCGUUGACGAAGAAGUUCAUGGGGGUGAUUAACGAUUUACGUUUAACCAUUGGUGCCCAACUUUGCAUUGGUCAGGGGUUCCUCAUAUGCCGCACAUGCAAAGGCCAAAAUGCUGAAUAAAACAACUGAUUGAUGAUGAAUCUGAAGAUGUGGACUUUACGAAAUCCAAUUCAAACGGACCAUCAACUUUGGAAUCUACCAUUUAUCCGUAAUUUUUGGGUAAAUUGAUAUUUUGAGUUAGUUAACCGUUACCAAGAAAGCAAACCCCACUUAGAAAAGCGUUUCAAUUUUUAAGGUCUUAAUUAGGAUUGAAUGGAUUUUGAGCAAGUUUACCAAUAUUUUUUUUAAAAAAAGAGGAGCCAACAUUUCUUUUGAUCAAUCCAAGCAUCCAUUUCAAAUGAAAUUGGACAAAAAUCUCCCGAAAAUGACCUUGUGCAGUCAAUGUUUAUUGGGACACGAUUCAACAAUUUCUUUUGUAAGGGCUAGCCAAGUCUACCAACUCGUUGGUAGACCAAAUAUCUCAUAAAGAUCAACAAUUAAAGACGGAAAAAAUAUAUAAUUUUUCAUUUUCAUAGCAUCGGGGGUUACGUUCCCUGUAGUAGUUAGAAAAGCCAGUAAAAAGCCAAGCGAAGAAAAAUGCAAAACCCGAUCAACAUUUUAGUGGAGGACUAGCCGGAUACACCCAUCCUAAUUCACAUAUUACAAAAAAUGCAAAAUACACUACUACUAAUCAUUAACACUUCUUAGUCAUGAUUGGGAUCAUUUUGACAUUGACUAGAUGAAACAUAAGAAUCAAAGGUUGUAUGCAGUGAGAUCAAUCUCGCCACAAAGUUCCCCAAUGUAAGUCCAG
Molecule: RNA transcript, 2750 nt
Organism: Tigriopus californicus
Lineage: Eukaryota; Metazoa; Arthropoda; Copepoda; Harpacticoida; Harpacticidae
Exons: 2
Source: RefSeq, a predicted model, not a curated record